Molecule: RNA transcript, 2741 nt
Organism: Cajanus cajan (pigeon pea)
Lineage: Eukaryota; Viridiplantae; Streptophyta; Magnoliopsida; Fabales; Fabaceae
Gene name: cysteine-rich receptor-like protein kinase 2
Source: RefSeq, a predicted model, not a curated record
UCAUGUAGUGCAACUAUUUUCAACUCUUCUUUUUCAACUUUCAACCAACAUUCAAGCUACCACAUUAUUUCUUCCAUACAAGCUGUAUAUAAUCAUUGGCUUUAUAAUUUCGCCAUUCUUCUUGACUUGGUCCAAACUCAAAUCACAAGUGGAACAUGGAAACUGUGAUGUGAGACUGAGAUCUCGUACGUGGACAGCUUAAUUGAUCAUGUUCGAUUCAUGUCUUCAAGAACACAGAUCCUAGUUGAGAAGCCCAACUAUCAUCAGUACCAGAGAAAGUGAUUCAGAUCAAAUCAUGUCGAAAAUGGAGAGAACAUUCCCUCUUGUCUAUUUCCAAUGCCUUGUUUUCCUUCUCAUGAAGCAUGUAUUGCUACCAAAAACAGUGAUGGCAGAACCAAGGGCCAAGACUGUCAAUAUAACAUGCAACCAUAAGCUAGAGCACAACACCACCGCCUUUGUUCCAAAUUUUGUUGCAACCAUGGAGAAGAUCAGUGAACAGAUGCGUAGCAACGGUUAUGGCACAGCAGUUGUAGGGACAGGAGGACCUGACACUAAUUAUGGGUUGGCUCAGUGCUAUGGAGAUCUCUCAUUACUUGACUGUGUGUUAUGUUAUGCCGAGGCACGCACGGUUCUUCCCCAAUGCUUCCCUUACAAUGGUGGUCGCAUAUACCUUGAUGGUUGCUUCAUGAGGGCUGAGAACUAUAGCUUCUAUGAUGAGUACACAGGGCCAGGAGACAAGGCUGUUUGCCUUAACAUAAGAAAGAAGAACACAAGUUUUCAAGAUGCAGCAAAGAAGGCUGUUUUGAGUGCAGUUCAAAAUGCACCAAACAAUAAAGGGUAUGCUAGGGAGGAGAUUUCUGUAGCAGGAACAGCAAAUGGUUCGGUUUAUGUUCUGGCUAAUUGUUGGAGGAGUUUGGACACAAGGUCUUGUAUAGCUUGUCUUGAGAAUGCAUCUUCUUCCAUAUUGGGGUGCUUGCCCUGGUCAGAAGGGCGAGCACUGAACACUGGAUGCUUCAUGAGGUACUCAGACACAAAUUUUCUUAACAAGGAACAAGAAAAUGAAAACUCGGAAGGUAAUGUAGUAGUGAUAUUGAUUGCAAUAGUCAGUGCAGUGAUUGUUUUGGUGGUUGGAAUAGCUCUUGUGGUUUAUAUCCGCCAACGCAGAUAUAUUCAAAAGAAAAGAAGAGGUUCUAAUGAUGCAGAAAAGUUAGCUAAGAGCCUUCACCACAAUAGCUUGAACUUCAAGUACUCUACACUGGAGAAGGCUACUAAUUCUUUUGAUGAAACCAACAAGCUUGGACAAGGAGGAUUUGGAACGGUUUAUAAAGGAGUUCUUGCUGAUGGAAGAGAGAUUGCUAUCAAGAGAUUAUAUUUCAACAACAGACAUAGAGCAGCAGAUUUCUACAAUGAAGUCAACAUAAUUAGUAGUUUGGAACACAAGAAUCUAGUCAGACUCUUGGGAUGCAGUUGUUCAGGACCUGAAAGCCUGCUUAUAUAUGAAUAUCUAUCUAACAGAAGUCUUGAUCGAUUCAUAUUUGAUAAGAACAAGGGUAAAGAACUAAACUGGGAUAAGAGAUAUCACAUUAUCAUCGGUACAGCUGAAGGAUUGGUUUACCUACAUGAGAACUCCAACAUUAGGAUAAUUCACAGAGAUAUAAAAGCCAGCAACAUCUUAUUGGAUGCAAAACUUCGCGCUAAAAUUGCUGAUUUUGGUUUGGCCAGGUCCUUUCAAGAAGAUAAAAGCCACAUUAGUACAGCUAUUGCUGGAACUUUGGGUUAUAUGGCUCCUGAGUACCUAGCACAUGGUCAGUUAACAGAGAAAGCAGACGUAUAUAGCUUUGGAGUGUUACUGCUAGAAAUAAUUACCGGGAGACAGAACAACAGGAGCAAAGCAUUAGAAUAUUCAGACAGCCUAAUAAUAAUGACAUGGAAGCAUUUUCAGUCAGGAACUGUGGAACAAUUAAUUGAUCCACAUUUAGUGUUGGAUGACAACCAUGAAAGCAAUGUUCAGAAUGAGAUUUUAAGAGUAUUGCACAUAGGACUUCUGUGCACCCAAGAAAUCCCUUCUUUAAGACCAUCAAUGUCAAAGGCACUAAAGAUGCUGACAAAGAAGGAGGAGCACUUGGAAGCUCCCUCUAAUCCACCCUUUGUAGAUGAAAGUACCAUGGAACUCCAUGACCAAAAUGAUGACCCAUUUUACCCUCUCAAUGCAGCAGACUCAUUGGCUACUAUGUCCCAUAGCUCAUUUUAUCCCAGGUAACCAAGAAAAUGCAGAGAAAAAGACACUAUAACUAAGCAAACUGGCUUCACUUGUGCAAGCCAAAUAACAUGGACAGGCUUAUGCUUAUGCCAUGGAGAUGGAGGUCUCUACCAAUGUGUUUGAAAUUUUGGAUAUGUACCAUGUGAACUUCAUGUCUGCACACAAGGAGAGCUACUACGCCAAAUUUUGAAAAUGGAAAGCAAAUGGUGCAUAAACUACAUAAAUAGGGAAGUAAGCAAUAUUUCAUUGUCAACCCCUUCUGCUUUCAGAAUUUACAGAAGAAAAUAAUUAAUCAGGAUAUACAUUUGAGAUCGUGAGCCAUGCACAUGCACACACCUCAUUCAUCAGUAAGGAACCGACCAGUCAGACCAUCCACCAUAGAAAACGGCAUAUUCUCAGAUGGUUUCCAGUGACGCUUUCUUUGAUUAAUAAACCAAUUGUUAAUUUGUUUCUGGUCUAACCCGGUUGAUUUAGCUAGUGC